Molecule: long non-coding RNA, 462 nt
Organism: Leptinotarsa decemlineata (Colorado potato beetle)
Lineage: Eukaryota; Metazoa; Arthropoda; Insecta; Coleoptera; Chrysomelidae
Gene: mbl
Source: RefSeq, a predicted model, not a curated record
UUAAAGAUAAAUUUUGGUGGUUUUGAUCUUGCCUCCAGUGUCUUACAUCUCAAAGAGUCACUAAUAUUUGAAGAGUUUCUGAAUUGCUAUUUUCUGUUUCAGGUCAGUAUAUAAAGUCUACGAAGGCAGCUGGGGAAACAACUCCUGAAGGCCUUUCGGGGUGAGAUUAUGAUGACAUUCAGACCAAUAUUACUUCAUAACGUAAGCCGGAGAGUCGUCUCGAGAGCACAUCAAAAUACCGUAAGUUUUAUAUUUCAAUUACUCCAUAGCUCAUAUCUGGGAAAUUUGUCCGUCAUUCCUUGGCCGAAUGUGUUUGCGGAGCAAUUUGAGGAGCUCUACUUGAUGAUAUUAAGGUUGGGAGAGCGCAAAAAGGAUCUCUUGUAAUAAAAAGGGAGAACCGACGUAAAACAACACCGGCCGUAAAAACCGUCAUAUCUUCUACAACAGGUAACGAACUUCGGU